UGGAAAGCGAUAGCUCAGUUUGAUCAGGCAUCCUCACUCUGUCCUGGGCAUGGCUCCCUGUCCUCCGGCGGGGAGAGGAGGGAAAUACUGUGGGGGUUGGGGAACGAGAUCUGGGCUAGUCCUUGUCUCUGCCAUUACAGCCACCUUGCCUGCCUCCCUCACUGCCGCAGCAUCUGCGGCUCAGGCUCUCCCUCCCCUGCAGUCCAAACAGGCAGCCGGUGCCCCUGCCUCCGCCACAUCCACCAUGCUGGAUAUUUUCAUCUUAAUGUUUUUUGCCAUCAUCGGCCUGGUGAUCCUCUCCUACAUCAUCUACCUGCUCUAGGAGCCCCAACAGCAGUGCAGGGGAAGGAUGAAAGACAGCAGCCAGCCAUCCUGCCAAUCAAAGCCUCGUCCAGCUCUCAGGCCUGGGUCAGACAAGUGUCACCUUAUCCUCAGCAGCGGCAGCAGCAAUGCCAGAGCCAUCAGGAGAAAGAGUUAACUCUUUGCAAGCAACCCGCUUCCCGAGCAGCUGGCGAGAGGAAAACCAGCCAUUGGACAGUGCAGAUGUCAAGACUUAUAAACGCCCUUGACAGAAUGUCUGAGCUGUAAUGCAUUUGAAGAGCAAAUACAAAGCAACCUGGCCUCAAGAAUGGACAGAGAGAGAGAGGGAGCGAUAAUGAAACCUCACUAUGGAGAAGUGUGUUGUUUUGUUUGCCAUGCUGGUAUUAAGGAAAUUUAACUGUUCAUUGUUCUGUGGCCACAUAGAUAUCCCCCCUCCUUGGGAAAAGUACCUGCUGUUUUUUAGUUUUAGAAAGUAUAUAUAUAUUUUAAUUAAAAAAAAAAAGCUAAGAAAACAACACAAAAUGAGAGCAAAAUCUGAAUAUCACAAUAGUAUCUUAUUCAGACACGUCACCUUUCAUUUUCACUGAUCACCCACUGCUUAUCACUGGGUAUUGCUAAAAUGCAGCUACUUCUGGGGUGGAGGGUGGCAACUAGCUAGAACACUUCGGGAAUGGGAGCACGAAUUUUGGACAAGGACUAUAAAGGAAAAUCCCUAUGCAGAAGAAAGAUGCAAGGGACCUUUUGGACCAAUUCAUCAAGACAGCUGGUGCUGAGCCUGUGUUUGAAAAAUGCUUUUAAACACAUUUCUGCCACUAAUCUGAGUGCCCAGUUUAUAUGGAGGGGGCAACAACCAGAACACAGAUUAGCCUCAGAAAUGCUAGUUAGCCAGCAACUCGUACUCCAAGCCUGUUCGGGGAGAUGUGAAUGAUCAUAGAAUAUCAGGGUUGGAAGGGACCUCAGGAGGUCAUCUAGUCCAACCCCCUGCUCAAAGCAGGACCAAUCCCCAUGAUACCAUGGGCUCAUCUGUUUUGAGGGUGGGGGGGCCCCCAUAGCUCCAAAUAAAGCCACUGGGGGGGGGGUUCUAAACCCCCUC
Molecule: long non-coding RNA, 1414 nt
Filed under: Chrysemys picta bellii (western painted turtle)
Lineage: Eukaryota; Metazoa; Chordata; Testudines; Emydidae
Description: lncRNA (ENSCPBG00000002372.1)
Source: RNAcentral